AAUUGGAGGGCAAGUCUGGUGCCAGCAGCCGCGGUAAUUCCAGCUCCAAUAGCGUAUAUUAAAGUUGUUGCAGUUAAAAAGCUCGUAGUUGAAUUUCGGGAUUGACACAUCGGUCGUGCCUUAAGGGGUAUGAACUGGUGUAGCCAAUUUCUCACCUUCUGGAGAACCGCGAUGCCCUUAAUUGGGUGUCACGGGGAACCAGGACCUUUACUUUGAAAAAAUUAGAGUGUUUAAAGCAGGCAUUUUGCUUGAAUACAUUAGCAUGGAAUAAUAAAAUAGGACGGCAUGAUUCUAUUUUGUUGGUUUCUAGGAUCACCGUAAUGAUUAAUAGGGAUAGUUGGGGGCAUUAGUAUUCAAUUGUCAGAGGUGAAAUUCUUGGAUUUAUUGAAGACUAACUACUGCGAAAGCAUUUGCCAAGGAUGUUUUCAUUAAUCAAGAACGAAAGUUAGGGGAUCGAAGACGAUCAGAUACCGUCGUAGUCUUAACCAUAAACUAUGCCGACUAGGAAUCAGACGAUGUUAAUUUUUUAAUGACUCGUUUGGCACCUUACGGGAAACCAAAGUGU
This 565-nucleotide ribosomal RNA is filed under the name uncultured Glomus. Its description in RNAcentral is "SSU rRNA". It matches the Rfam family "Eukaryotic small subunit ribosomal RNA", at positions 546 to 1106 of the family's 1831-position model. The record is from RNAcentral. Lineage: Eukaryota; Fungi; Glomeromycota; Glomeromycetes; Glomerales; Glomeraceae.